GACGAACGCUGGCGGCGUGCUUAACACAUGCAAGUCGAGCGGUAAGGCCCUUUCGGGGGUACACGAGCGGCGAACGGGUGAGUAACACGUGGGUGACCUGCCCUCAGCUCUGGGAUAAGCCUGGGAAACCGGGUCUAAUACCGGAUAUGACUCCAUGACGCAUGUUGUGGGGUGGAAAGCCUUGUGCGGCUGAGGAUGGGCCCGCGGCCUAUCAGCUUGUUGGUGGGGUGAUGGCCUACCAAGGCGACGACGGGUAGCCGGCCUGAGAGGGCGACCGGCCACACUGGGGACUGAGACACGGCCCAGACUCCUACGGGAGGCAGCAGUGGGGAAUCUUGCGCAAUGGGCGAAAGCCUGACGCAGCGACGCCGCGUGAGGGAUGAC
RNAcentral lists this ribosomal RNA (384 nucleotides) under uncultured bacterium. Its description in RNAcentral is "bacterial SSU rRNA". It matches the Rfam family "Bacterial small subunit ribosomal RNA", at positions 28 to 412 of the family's 1533-position model. The record is from RNAcentral.